GUGCCAGCCGCCGCGGUAACACCGGCGGUCCGAGUGGUGGUCGAUAUUAUUGGGCCUAAAGCGUCCGUAGCUUGCCAGGUAAGUCCUUCGGGAAAUCCGGUUGCUCAACCUCCGGAAUUUCGAAGGAAACUGUCUGGCUUGGGGCCGGAAGGGGCUGCGGGUACGUCGGGGGUAGGGGUGAAAUCCUGUAAUCCUCGACGGACCACCUGUGGCGAAAGCUCGUAGCUGGAACGGACCCGACGGUGAGGGACGAAAGCCAGGGGCACGAACCGGAUUAGAUACCCGUGUAGUCC
This 293-nucleotide ribosomal RNA is filed under the name uncultured bacterium. Its description in RNAcentral is "partial 16S ribosomal RNA". It matches the Rfam family "Archaeal small subunit ribosomal RNA", at positions 455 to 747 of the family's 1478-position model. The record is from RNAcentral.